Long non-coding RNA from Apis dorsata (giant honeybee), 343 nucleotides. RefSeq lists it as uncharacterized. The record is from RefSeq and is a predicted model, not a curated record. The transcript has 3 exons. NCBI's taxonomy places the organism in Eukaryota, Metazoa, Arthropoda, Insecta, Hymenoptera, Apidae.
GAAUUAUCAAUAAUAACUAUCCAUUCAAGAAUUAUUCACCUAAGCAAGAUGUAACUUUGCGUAAUCCGAUAUGUGCAAAAUACCAUGCUGGGCAGAUGCAAUGUGCAAGCUGGCUCCGCAUGCUCGAGGAUUUAUCCUGAAUGUGUGUAAUUCCGCGACUUGUGUACUGCACGCUGUUGCAGUGUUCCCGUUAGAUGAUAAUUUUCUAGCCCAGAAUUCGUUUCCUGUAAUUUAAACGACUGAUUUUAAUAAAUAAAUUUUGUAAAAAUAACGAAAUUCUUUUUCAUCAAGGAUAAUUUUAAUUAAAGUAAACUGUUCUAAAACCUGGUAACGCGUUUCCAUC